GUGAUGGCCACAAAGAGGUGGAUUUGUUGAGUUGGUGCCAUUCCUUCUACUGCCAGCUUCACCAAAACAAUGACACAGUCUUCCUUCCGCAUGGAGACUCUUCUCUUUCCUGUGUUGCAGUGGAUGCCUCCUGCAGAUAUUUUAUCUUGCUGGGCAGGACUCUGCUGGGGGUGGUAUCAGGUCUUAUUCCCAAUAGAUGGUGACCAUGGAGGAAGACUUGUGUUGGGCCCAAUGGCCCUCGGCCAGUGUCCGUCUGCCAGGUGCCAGCCCCCGGUGCGCUGAAGCUCAGGCCAUUCCUGAUGCCCUGGCCUCCUGCACUGAGCUGUGUGAGCUCUUCUGCCCAGGCAGGCCCCCUGGCAUUGACCGGCAUAGACAGUGAGCCUGGAGGAAGACUUGCCCUGGUCCCACUGUCCCUGGGCCAGUGUCCAUCAGCCAGGUGCCCAGACCCCAGUGCGCUGAAGCUCAGCCCUCCCUGGCACUCUGGUCUCCUGCACUGAGCUGUGUGAGCUCUUCCGCCCAUGAGGGCCCCCUGGCCUUGAGCAGCAUAGAUGGUGACCCUGAAGGAGGACUUGUGUUGGGCCCAAUGGCCUGGGGCCAGUGUCUGUCAGCCAGGUGCCCAGCCCCUGGCGUGCUGAAGUUUGGGCCCUUCCUGGUGCCCUGUUCUAUCGGGGGAACCCGCCCCCAAUAAUUCAACGUCCCUCCGUUUGGGGUCCCUGACUUCCCUCAACACUGGUCUCUUCCACUGAGCCUUG
RNAcentral lists this long non-coding RNA (752 nucleotides) under Homo sapiens (human). RNAcentral describes it as "non-protein coding lnc-SNRPN-8:147". Lineage: Eukaryota; Metazoa; Chordata; Mammalia; Primates; Hominidae. The record is from RNAcentral.